GAUCAAGACAUGAGCCGAGAUCAAGAGUCGGACGCUGAACUGACUGAGCCACCCAGGCGCCCCAUCGCAUAUGCAUGUUAUUUCUAAUUCGUUACUCCAACGACUCUUGGGACUCACUCUUGCGUAUCUCUUGACCCUGUUCCUCCUCUGCAUCCCUGGAUUCAAGCCCAAGUCCUCGAGUUAUUGCAGUCAACUCCUAACCCAGUCCUCAGAGGGAGACUAAGCCAGGGUGUGAGGCACACCAGGCUGAUCACUGCCUGCUUAAAAUUCAUCAGUGCGUUCCUGCUGCUACAGGAAAAAUCCAAACUCCCCAUGUAAUAUACAAAGCCGCUCAUUAGCUGACUCCCUGCCCAGCCUCGUCCUCCACCCUUCCCCCUGCCUCAUAGUUUCUUCUGAGCUAUCCCACACUCUGCUGACGCCUCUAAAAAGUCACUGCCCCUCCGUGCCUCCGCCAAUCAUCCUCGCGACUCGACACAAACCUGCAGACCCUUUCUGAACACCGCCCUGGCCAGAGAGUCAGAUGCCGCCUCUUGGUGGAAAUCUCAACCAGAGCACGGCUCCUAUCAUAUCAUAUAUGCCCUUGACGGCUCAGUCACACUUCCUGGGAACAGGAAGACCUCUCUGUGUCUUACACACGCCCUGGCACAUAGGAAGCGCUUCGUACAUGUUGCACACGUGAACGAAUAGCUGAGUGAGCCAAGCCACUGAACGCACGAAUAAGUGAACGAGUGCAUUAUGAGCUGCGCUGGCCAAAUAUAUUACCACGUACGUUCUAGUGCUGACACAGACAUCUCCUGGAGACGUGUCAGAAACUGUGCUUCUCAGACAUGAUGUCCGAAGGUUCUGUGAGUCUUGAUAUCUUGAACGAACUCACAGAGUUCAACCGUGUCAGCUGCUUCUUGGCAGAAGAGAACGGAAUAAAUCGUUCCUCUAUCUAACGGCAAGAGUGCCCCCGGGAUCCGACACUGAAUCCUGAGUUGGAAGGAAGGAAAAUUCAGCUGCUUCUCCACACCACCAUCCAGCGCGGGACUUCCAGACAGAUGGCCACCCAGUUUCUGCUAUAGUCCUCUAGAAACAAAGAACUCACCACCUUGCAGGGCAGGGCAUUCCUGGUUUAUCUGUCAUGCAAAUAAGUACGCUUUCUUGUUAUUUUCAGAUAUUUCAA
Lynx canadensis (Canada lynx) is the source of this 1165-nucleotide long non-coding RNA. RefSeq lists it as uncharacterized. NCBI's taxonomy places the organism in Eukaryota, Metazoa, Chordata, Mammalia, Carnivora, Felidae. The transcript has 2 exons. The record is from RefSeq and is a predicted model, not a curated record.